Molecule: ribosomal RNA, 253 nt
Filed under: uncultured bacterium
Lineage: Bacteria
Description: partial 16S ribosomal RNA
Rfam family: Bacterial small subunit ribosomal RNA
Source: RNAcentral
UACAGAGGGGGCAAGCGUUGUUCGGAAUUACUGGGCGUAAAGGGCGCGUAGGUGGCCUUCUAAGUUGAACGUGAAAUCCCUGGGCUCAACCCAGGAACUGCGUCCAAGACUGGGAGGCUUGAAUCCGGGAGAGGGAUGCGGAAUUCCAGGUGUAGCGGUGAAAUGCGCAGAUAUCUGGAGGAACACCGGUGGCGAAGGCGGCAUCCUGGACCGGCAUUGACGCUGAGGAGCGAAAGCCAGGGGAGCAAACGGG